GUCGGGAAUAUUGCGCAAUGGAGGAAACUCUGACGCAGUGACGCCGCGUGCAGGAAGAAGGUUUUCGGAUUGUAAACUGCUUUAGACAGGGAAGAAAAAGACAGUACCUGUAGAAUAAGCUCCGGCUAACUACGUGCCAGCAGCCGCGGUAAUACGUAGGGAGCAAGCGUUAUCCGGAUUUAUUGGGUGUAAAGGGUGCGUAGACGGGAAAAUAAGUUAGUUGUGAAAUCCCCAUGCUUAACAUGGGAACUGCAACUAAAACUGUUUUUCUUGAGUGCUGGAGAGGAAAGUGGAAUUCCUAGUGUAGCGGUGAAAUGCGUAGAUAUUAGGAGGAACACCAGUGGCGAAGGCGACUUUCUGGACAGUAACUGACGUUGAGGCACGAAAGUGUGGGGAGCAAACAGGAUUAGAAACCCCUGUAGUCC
This 425-nucleotide ribosomal RNA is filed under the name uncultured bacterium. RNAcentral describes it as "bacterial SSU rRNA". It matches the Rfam family "Bacterial small subunit ribosomal RNA", at positions 354 to 796 of the family's 1533-position model. The record is from RNAcentral.